Long non-coding RNA from Anguilla anguilla (European eel), 156 nucleotides. RefSeq lists it as uncharacterized. The transcript has 3 exons. Lineage: Eukaryota; Metazoa; Chordata; Actinopteri; Anguilliformes; Anguillidae. The record is from RefSeq and is a predicted model, not a curated record.
UAAAAGGAGCGGACAGGUGUAGUUAUCUUUGUGAAAGUGUCACUGCUCUGGGGCCCCAAAGCGGGUACUGUGAGGUGCCCCUGCUUGGCUCUUUUGUGCAGAGGAGUAGCGGGCGCGGCUGUGGGUGAAGAUGCCUAAUUUCAGGCGAGAGCCACC